Cryomyces minteri is the source of this 72-nucleotide non-coding RNA. Lineage: Eukaryota; Fungi; Ascomycota; Dothideomycetes. The record is from the annotation of a GenBank genome assembly.
GGGUGGUUGGCGCAAUGGUAGCGCGUUCCCCUCCUAAGGGAAAGGUUCUGGGUUCGAGUCCCAGAUUGCUCG